Molecule: ribosomal RNA, 455 nt
Filed under: uncultured bacterium
Lineage: Bacteria
Description: bacterial SSU rRNA
Rfam family: Bacterial small subunit ribosomal RNA
Source: RNAcentral
UACGGGAGGCAGCAGUGGGGAAUAUUGCACAAUGGGCGCAAGCCUGAUGCAGCCAUGCCGCGUGUAUGAAGAAGGCCUUCGGGUUGUAAAGUACUUUCAGUCGUGAGGAAGGUGUUAAGGUUAAUAACCUUAGCAAUUGACGUUAGCGACAGAAGAAGCACCGGCUAACUCCGUGCCAGCAGCCGCGGUAAUACGGAGGGUGCGAGCGUUAAUCGGAAUUACUGGGCGUAAAGGGCACGCAGGCGGUUAAUUAAGUUGGAUGUGAAAUCCCCGGGCUUAACCUGGGAAUGGCAUUCAAGACUGGUUAGCUAGAGUCUUGUAGAGGGGGUAGAAUUCCAUGUGUAGCGGUGAAAUGCGUAGAGAUGUGGAGGAAUACCGGUGGCGAAGGCGGCCCCGUGGACAAAGACUGACGCUCAUGUGCGAAAGCGUGGGGAGCAAACGAGGGAUUAGAUACC